CGGGUGAGUAAUAUAUCGGAACGUGCCCGGUCGUGGGGGAUAACGUAGUCGAAAGCUACGCUAAUACCGCAUACGAUCUACGGAUGAAAGCGGGGGAUCGCAAGACCUCGCGCGAUUGGAGCGGCCGAUAUCAGAUUAGGUAGUUGGUGAGGUAAAGGCUCACCAAGCCGACGAUCUGUAGCUGGUCUGAGAGGACGACCAGCCACACUGGGACUGAGACACGGCCCAGACUCCUACGGGAGGCAGCAGUGGGGAAUUUUGGACAAUGGGCGCAAGCCUGAUCCAGCAAUGCCGCGUGCAGGAUGAAGGCCUUCGGGUUGUAAACUGCUUUGUACGGAACGAAACGGUGAGCUCUAAUACAGUUUGCUAAUGACGGUACCGUAAGAAUAAGCACCGGCUAACUACGUG
This 408-nucleotide ribosomal RNA is filed under the name uncultured bacterium. Its description in RNAcentral is "bacterial SSU rRNA". It matches the Rfam family "Bacterial small subunit ribosomal RNA", at positions 103 to 507 of the family's 1533-position model. The record is from RNAcentral.